UUGGGGGAUAUGGAAAUGGGGGCAACCCUGACCCAGCAAUGCCGCGUGUGUGAAGAAGGCCUGCGGGUUGUAAAGCACUUUCGGUUGGGAAGAAAAGUCCGGCGCUAAUAUCGCUGGGCCUUGACGUUACCGACAGAAGAAGCACCGGCUAACUCUGUGCCAGCAGCCGCGGUAAUACAGAGGGUGCAAGCGUUAAUCGGAAUCACUGGGCGUAAAGCGUGCGUAGGUGGUCAUGCAAGUCGGGUGUGAAAUCCCCGGGCUUAACCUGGGAACUGCAUUCGAUACUACAUGGCUGGAGUAUGGUAGAGGGAAGUGGAAUUUCCGGUGUAGCGGUGAAAUGCGUAGAUAUCGGAAGGAACACCAAUGGCGAAGGCAGCUUCCUGGACCAAUACUGACACUGAGGCACGAAAGCGUGGGUAGCAAACAGGAUUAGAUACCCUGGUAGUCCACGCCCUAAACGAUGAGAACUAGCCGUUGGGGGAAUUCAAUCCCCUAGUGGCGCAGCUAACGCGUUAAGUUCUCCGCCU
RNAcentral lists this ribosomal RNA (527 nucleotides) under uncultured bacterium. Its description in RNAcentral is "bacterial SSU rRNA". It matches the Rfam family "Bacterial small subunit ribosomal RNA", at positions 354 to 874 of the family's 1533-position model. The record is from RNAcentral.